This 497-nucleotide ribosomal RNA is filed under the name uncultured bacterium. RNAcentral's name for it is "partial 16S ribosomal RNA". It matches the Rfam family "Bacterial small subunit ribosomal RNA", at positions 28 to 507 of the family's 1533-position model. The record is from RNAcentral.
GAUGAAAGCGGGCGGCGUGCCUAAUACAUGCAAGUCGAUCGAACGGACGAGAAGCUUGCUUCUCUGAUGUUAGCGGCGGCCGGGUGAGUAACACGUGGCUAACCUACCUAUAAGAAUGGGAUAACUUCGGGAAACCGGAGCUAAUACCGGAUAAUAUUUUGAACCGCAUGGUUCAGAAGUGAAAGCCGGUCUUGAUGUCACUUAUAGCUGGAUCCGAGCUGCAUUAGCUAGUUGGUAAGGUAACGGCUUACCAAGGCAACGUUGCAUAGCCGACCUGAGAGGGUGAUAGGCCACACUGGAACUGAGACACGGUCCAGACUCCUACGGGAGGCAGCAGUAGGGAAUCUUCCGCCAUGGGCGAAAGCCUUACGGAGCAACGCCGCGUGAGUGAUGAAGGUCUUCGGAUCGUAAAACUCUGUUAUUAGGGAAGAACAUAUGUGUAAGUAACUGUGCACAUCUUGACGGUACCUAAUCAGAAAGCCACGGCUAACUACGUG